UAACUGAAGAGUUUGAUCAUGGCUCAGAUUGAACGCUGGCGGCAGGCUUAACACAUGCAAGUCGAGCGGGGGAAGGUAGCUUGCUACUGGACCUAGCGGCGGACGGGUGAGUAAUGCUUAGGAAUCUGCCUAUUAGUGGGGGACAACAUCUCGAAAGGGAUGCUAAUACCGCAUACGUCCUACGGGAGAAAGCAGGGGAUCUUCGGACCUUGCGCUAAUAGAUGAGCCUAAGUCGGAUUAGCUAGUUGGUGGGGUAAAGGCCUACCAAGGCGACGAUCUGUAGCGGGUCUGAGAGGAUGAUCCGCCACACUGGGACUGAGACACGGCCCAGACUCCUACGGGAGGCAGCAGUGGGGAAUAUUGGACAAUGGGGGGAACCCUGAUCCAGCCAUGCCGCGUGUGUGAAGAAGGCCUUAUGGUUGUAAAGCACUUUAAGCGAGGAGGAGGCUACUUUAGUUAAUACCUAGAGAUAGUGGACGUUACUCGCAGAAUAAGCACCGGCUAACUCUGUGCCAGCAGCCGCGGUAAUACAGAGGGUGCGAGCGUUAAUCGGAUUUACUGGGCGUAAAGCGUGCGUAGGCGGCUUAUUAAGUCGGAUGUGAAAUCCCCGAGCUUAACUUGGGAAUUGCAUUCGAUACUGGUGAGCUAGAGUAUGGGAGAGGAUGGUAGAAUUCCAGGUGUAGCGGUGAAAUGCGUAGAGAUCUGGAGGAAUACCGAUGGCGAAGGCAGCCAUCUGGCCUAAUACUGACGCUGAGGUACGAAAGCAUGGGGAGCAAACAGGAUUAGAUACCCUGGUAGUCCAUGCCGUAAACGAUGUCUACUAGCCGUUGGGGCCUUUGAGGCUUUAGUGGCGCAGCUAACGCGAUAAGUAGACCGCCUGGGGAGUACGGUCGCAAGACUAAAACUCAAAUGAAUUGACGGGGGCCCGCACAAGCGGUGGAGCAUGUGGUUUAAUUCGAUGCAACGCGAAGAACCUUACCUGGCCUUGACAUACUAGAAACUUUCCAGAGAUGGAUUGGUGCCUUCGGGAAUCUAGAUACAGGUGCUGCAUGGCUGUCGUCAGCUCGUGUCGUGAGAUGUUGGGUUAAGUCCCGCAACGAGCGCAACCCUUU
This 1112-nucleotide ribosomal RNA is filed under the name Acinetobacter baumannii. Its description in RNAcentral is "bacterial SSU rRNA". It matches the Rfam family "Bacterial small subunit ribosomal RNA", at positions 1 to 1107 of the family's 1533-position model. The record is from RNAcentral. Lineage: Bacteria; Pseudomonadati; Pseudomonadota; Gammaproteobacteria; Moraxellales; Moraxellaceae.